Molecule: transfer RNA, 76 nt
Filed under: Xenorhabdus bovienii str. kraussei Quebec
Lineage: Bacteria; Pseudomonadati; Pseudomonadota; Gammaproteobacteria; Enterobacterales; Morganellaceae
Description: tRNA-Lys
Rfam family: tRNA
About the family: Transfer RNA (tRNA) molecules are approximately 80 nucleotides in length. Their secondary structure includes four short double-helical elements and three loops (D, anti-codon, and T loops). Further hydrogen bonds mediate the characteristic L-shaped molecular structure. tRNAs have two regions of fundamental functional importance: the anti-codon, which is responsible for specific mRNA codon recognition, and the 3' end, to which the tRNAs corresponding amino acid is attached (by aminoacyl-tRNA synthetases). tRNAs cope with the degeneracy of the genetic code in two manners: having more than one tRNA (with a specific anti-codon) for a particular amino acid; and 'wobble' base-pairing, i.e. permitting non-standard base-pairing at the 3rd anti-codon position.
Source: RNAcentral
GGGUCGUUAGCUCAGUCGGUAGAGCAGUUGACUCUUAAUCGCUUGGUCGCUGGUUCAAGUCCAGCAGGGGCCACCA